UAGGGAAUCUUCCGCAAUGGACGCAAGUCUGACGGAGCAACGCCGCGUGAGUGAAGAAGGAUUUCGGUUCGUAAAACUCUGUUGUUAGAGAUGAACAGCGCAUAGAGUAACUGUUAUGCGUGUGACGGUAUCUAACCAGAAAGCCACGGCUAACUACGUGCCAGCAGCCGCGGUAAUACGUAGGUGGCAAGCGUUGUCCGGAUUUAUUGGGCGUAAAGCGAGCGCAGGCGGUCAAUUAAGUCUGAUGUGAAAGCCCCCGGCUCAACCGGGGAGGGUCAUUGGAAACUCGUUGACUUGAGUGCAGAAGAGGAGAGUGGAAUUCCAUGUGUAGCGUUGAAAUGCGUAGAUAUAUGGAGGAACACCAGUGGCGAAGGCGACUCUCUGGUCUGUAACUGACGCUGAGGCUCGAAAGCGUGGGUAGCAAACAGG
This 429-nucleotide ribosomal RNA is filed under the name Bacteroidota bacterium. Its description in RNAcentral is "Bacteroidetes bacterium partial 16S ribosomal RNA". It matches the Rfam family "Bacterial small subunit ribosomal RNA", at positions 355 to 776 of the family's 1533-position model. The record is from RNAcentral. Lineage: Bacteria; Pseudomonadati; Bacteroidota.